Molecule: non-coding RNA, 942 nt
Filed under: Pan troglodytes (chimpanzee)
Lineage: Eukaryota; Metazoa; Chordata; Mammalia; Primates; Hominidae
Source: RNAcentral
GGCCACAUCUGCCAGAGCCUGGAGUCUGCGAAGGCCGGGACCCGGUUCCCCGGCCCACCGUGGGGGGGGGUGUGCAAACCCGAGAGAACUGGUCGCUGAAACCUCUACAACUUAGUUGACCGUAACUGCCAGAGCCCUGCCCUGAAUUCCUGUCCUUACUCCCUCUUUAAGAUUGCGUACCCACUGCAGAGUGCUGAAGACGGGGUAGCCACGAGGUUGCAAAUUCGUGAAGAAUCAGCAUCAUGUUUGGCAGCUGAGUAUUGGAGCCAGGAGCCUGCCAUGAGGUUAUAUUCCCAGAGGAUGUCAGUCCCAAGGACCAGUAGCUGCCAUCAGUUUGGAUUCUGAAAACUAACCGGCAUCAACACUGGGUGUAGAAACAUGCUUGCCUUAUGUAUCAGAGGACAUGCUCAGCAGAUCCAAGAGAUAUAUUUGGCAACUUUUUCUAGAAAAGGCACAUUGGGUAUCAUUCAUUACAUUCUUGAGUUUUUUUGGUUUUUUUUUUUUUUUUUUUUUGAGACAGUCUUGCUGUAUUGCCCAGGCUGGAGUGUGGUGGCACAAUCACAGCUCAUUGCAUCCUCAAUCACCCAGGCCUAAGCAAUCCUCCCACCUUGUAGCUGGGACUAUAGCUCACAGCACACCUGGCUAAAAUUUUUUUUUUGUUAAGACGGAUUCUCUAUGUUGCCCAGGCUGGUCUCAGGCUCCUGGGCUCAGAUGGUCCUCCUGCCUCAGCUUCCAAAGGCACAGGCCAAGUUGUAGCUUUGUCCCUUGCCAUCAUGCCCAACAAGAGGUUCUAUACCUUUUAAUGAAUUGACUUUCAUAAAUUGGUUAUGUUGGUGGGCAAGUUCUUUAAGCUGGAAAUUGUAAAUUCCUCCUGAAAUGUUUUUUCAUGCAGUUACCAUGAACUAAUACUACAAUAAAGGAUGGUCUUGGGUGUCAAUUCUU